Molecule: ribosomal RNA, 1488 nt
Filed under: uncultured Flavobacteriia bacterium
Lineage: Bacteria; Pseudomonadati; Bacteroidota; Flavobacteriia
Description: 16S ribosomal RNA
Rfam family: Bacterial small subunit ribosomal RNA
Source: RNAcentral
UUAGAGUUUGAUCCUGGCUCAGGAUGAACGCUAGCGGCAGGCUUAACACAUGCAAGUCGAGGGGUAACAGGGAUUGCUUGCAAUCCGCUGACGACCGGCGCACGGGUGCGUAACGCGUAUGCAACCUACCUUCUACAGGGGGAUAGUCAAUAGAAAUGUUGAAUAAUACCCCAUACGAUCUUUGAAUAGCAUUAUUUAAAGAAGAAAGCUCCGGCGGUAGAAGAUGGGCAUGCGUCCUAUUAGUUAGUUGGUAAGGUAACGGCUUACCAAGACUUCGAUAGGUAGGGGUCCUGAGAGGGAGACCCCCCACACUGGUACUGAGACACGGACCAGACUCCUACGGGAGGCAGCAGUGAGGAAUAUUGGACAAUGGAGGCAACUCUGAUCCAGCCAUGCCGCGUGCAGGAAGACUGCCCUAUGGGUUGUAAACUGCUUUUAUACAGGAAGAAAUAUACCUACGUGUAGGUAUUUGACGGUACUGUACGAAUAAGGAUCGGCUAACUCCGUGCCAGCAGCCGCGGUAAUACGGAGGAUCCGAGCGUUAUCCGGAAUCAUUGGGUUUAAAGGGUCCGUAGGCGGUCUUUUAAGUCAGAGGUGAAAUCCUACAGCUCAACUGUAGAAUUGCCUUUGAUACUGAAAGACUUGAGUUAUUGUGAAGUAGUUAGAAUGUGUGGUGUAGCGGUGAAAUGCAUAGAGAUCACACAGAAUACCGAUUGCGAAGGCAGAUUACUAACAAUAUACUGACGCUGAGGGACGAAAGCGUGGGUAGCGAACAGGAUUAGAUACCCUGGUAGUCCACGCCGUAAACGAUGGAUACUACUUUCGACCAACAUUGGUUGGUUGAGUGGCUAAGCGAAAGUGAUAAGUAUCCCACCUGGGGAGUACGGUCGCAAGACUGAAACUCAAAGGAAUUGACGGGGGCCCGCACAAGCGGUGGAGCAUGUGGUUUAAUUCGAUGAUACGCGAGGAACCUUACCAGGGCUUAAAUGUAAGUUGCAUGAUUUAGAGAUAGAUCUUUCUUCGGACUACUUACAAGGUGCUGCAUGGUUGUCGUCAGCUCGUGCCGUGAGGUGUCAGGUUAAGUCCUAUAACGAGCGCAACCCCUGUCGUUAGUUGCCAGCAAGUUAAGUUGGGCACUCUAGCGAGACUGCCAGUGCAAACUGUGAGGAAGGUGGGGAUGACGUCAAAUCAUCACGGCCCUUACGUCCUGGGCUACACACGUGCUACAAUGGUCGGUACAGAGAGCAGCCACUACGCGAGUAGGAGCGAAUCUAUAAAACCGAUCUCAGUUCGGAUCGCAGUCUGCAACUCGACUGCGUGAAGCUGGAAUCGCUAGUAAUCGGAUAUCAGCCAUGAUCCGGUGAAUACGUUCCCGGGCCUUGUACACACCGCCCGUCAAGCCAUGGAAGCUGGGAGUACCUGAAGUCGGUUACCGCAAGGAGCUGCCUAGGGUAAAACUGGUAACUGGGGCUAAGUCGUAACAAGGUA